This 361-nucleotide long non-coding RNA is filed under the name Nicotiana benthamiana. Its description in RNAcentral is "long non-coding RNA (NBEN_LNC004237)". The record is from RNAcentral. Lineage: Eukaryota; Viridiplantae; Streptophyta; Magnoliopsida; Solanales; Solanaceae.
CCAUUUGGAUCCAUUAACCAUAUUUCUCUCGGUAGUUCUUUAGUGACAUUCAUCUCUAUAAGCAUUCGAGCAUAUGAUACUCUAAUUUGCUUGGUUGUGCAUUCAUCCGCAAAGAUAGGCUUCCAAGACAUUUGCAAUUCUGUUUAAUGGUCUCAUUCCCCAACAAGACAUGGGAAGCUUAGGAAACUUUACCCAUAGAGGGAUAUCAACAGGGAAUUCCUCCGUAAAGUCAAAGUCUGGAUACCAUUGCUUAAGGAUCAUGGGUCUGUUUGCUAUAGAGUAAGGUCCUGCACAUAGGAUUUCCUUAGCAUCAGCAAUUAUUCUGAACUUAACUAUGUAGUACCCUUCCACAUGAUAGAAC